This 2308-nucleotide ribosomal RNA is filed under the name human gut metagenome. Its description in RNAcentral is "bacterial LSU rRNA". It matches the Rfam family "Bacterial large subunit ribosomal RNA", at positions 14 to 2317 of the family's 2925-position model. The record is from RNAcentral.
AGAGCAUACGGUGGAUGCCUUGGCGAUAUCUGCCGACGAAGGACGUGACAAGCUGCGAAAAGCUGCGGAGAGAUGCAAAUAAUCGGCGACCCGCAGACAUCCGAAUGGAGCAAUCCGGCUGUGAUGAUGCACAGCCAUCCAUGCCCAAGAGCAUGAGAAGGGAACCGGGCGAACUGAAACAUCUAAGUAACCCGAGGAAAAGAAAUCAAACGAGAUACCCCAAGUAGCGGCGAGCGAACAGGGAAGAAGCCCAAACCGGUGAAGGAAACUUUACCGGGGUUGAGGACCAUCAGACCCGCGAAGAACCUUAGCCGAAACUGUUGGGAAACAGUGCCGAAGACAGUGAAAGCCUGGUAGGCGAAAAAGAGAAACGCGGAGAUGGCACCAGAGUACCGCGGGACACGAGAAAUCCCGUGGGAAGCAGGGGGGACCACCCUCCAAGGCAAAACACAGAUAUCGACCGAUAGCGCAUAGUACCAUGAGGGAAAGGUGAAAAGCACCCCGGGAGGGGAAUGAAAGAGAACCUGAAACCGUAUGUUUACAAGCAGUCGGAGACCGCUUAAUAAUAAGGUCGACGGCGUGCCUAUUGAAGAAUGAACCGGCGAGUUACGAAGCCUGGCAAGGUUAAGCAGGAAAUGCGGAGCCGAAGCGAAAGCGAGUCUUAAGAGGGCGCAAGUCAGGAAGCGUAGACCCGAAACCACAGUGAUCUACCCAUGUCCAGGUUGAAACACAGGUAAAAAUGUGUGGAGGACCGAACCUAUAUCCGUUGAAAAGGGUUAGGAUGAGGUGUGGGUAGGGGUGAAAUUCCAAUCGAACGUGGAGAUAGCUGGUUCUCCCCGAAAUAGCUUUAGGGCUAGCCUCAGGGAAAAGAUUGCAGGCGGUAGAGCACUGAUCAGGAGAGGGACCUACCCGGUUACCAAACCCAGUCAAACUCCGAAUGGCUGCAAUCAUACCUGGGAGUCAGACUGCGACUAAUAAGGGCCGCAGUCAAAAGGGAAACAGCCCAGACCAUCAGCUAAGGUCCCCAAUGCCGUGCUAAGUGGCGAAGGAUGUGGCAUUUCAUAAACAACCAGGAUGUUGGCUCAGAAGCAGCCACCAUUUAAAGAGUGCGUAAUAGCUCACUGGUCGAGAGACGCUGCGCCGAAAAUGUCCGGGGCUCAAGCACGGAACCGAAGCUAUGGCAUGAUAGCAAUAUCAUGGGUAGGGGAGCGUUCUUAUAAGGAAGAAGCAUGACCGGAAGGACAUGUGGACAAAUAAGAAGUGAGAAUGCCGGUAUGAGUAUCGAAAAGAAAGGUGAGAAUCCUUUCCACCGAAAGCCCGAGGGUUCCUGAGCAACGAUCGUCGACUCAGGGUAAGUCGGGACCUAAGCCGAGGCGAAAAGCGUAGGCGAUGGACAACAGGUUGAAAUUCCUGUACCGGAUCAAGUCGAUCGAGCGAAGGAGCGACGCAGGAGGGCACAUGAUCGCGCGGCUGGAAGAGCGCGUCCAAGUGCGUAUGUUGCAGCAGAGGAAAACCCCUGCAGCUAAAAGCAGAGACAUGAUGGGGAGUUAAAGGAAACUUUGACGAACUCAUGAAUCCCACACUGCCAAGAAAAACUUCUAGCGAGACAAGAUCCGCCCGUACCGUAAACCGACACAGGUAGGCGGGGAGAGAAUCCUAAGGUGCGCGGGAAAACCCUCGUUAAGGAACUCGGCAAAUUGCAUCCGUAACCUAGGGAGAAGGAUGGCCCCCGGUCAGUGAAGAGCAGAAACGCUCAGAGCUAAAAGGGGCGGCAGAAAAGAGGCCCAAGCAACUGUUUACCAAAAACACAGGUGCCUGCGAAAGCGAAAGCUGAAGUAUAGGUGCUGACGCCUGCCCGGUGCCGGAAGGUUAAGGAGAGAAGUUAGCGAAAGCGAAGCAUCGAACUGAAGCCCCGGUGAACGGCGGCCGUAACUAUAACGGUCCUAAGGUAGCGAAAUUCCUUGUCGGGUAAGUUCCGACCCGCAUGAAAGGCGUAAUGAUUUGGGCACUGUCUCAACGAGGGGCCCGGUGAAAUUGAAAUACCUGUGAAGAUGCAGGUUACCCGCGACUGGACAGAAAGACCCCAUGGAGCUUCACUGCAGCUUGAGAUUGAAUCCCGGUGACAGAUGCACAGGAUAGGUGGGAGGCGCCGAAGCAUUGCCCUAGGGCGGUGCGGAGCCGAUGUUGGGAUACCACCCUUCUGUUGCUGAGAUUCUAACGCGAGGAGUAACGACCCUGCGGACCCUCUCAGGCAGGCGGUUUGACUGGGGCGGUCGCCUCCGAAAGAGUAACGGAGGCGCCCAAAGGU